Molecule: ribosomal RNA, 242 nt
Filed under: uncultured bacterium
Lineage: Bacteria
Description: partial 16S ribosomal RNA
Rfam family: Bacterial small subunit ribosomal RNA
Source: RNAcentral
CAGUAGCAAUACUGAGUGGCAAACGGGUGAGUAUAAUGUGGGAAUCUGCCUUUUGGUUCGGAAUAACACGAGGAAACUUGUGCUAAUACCGGAUAAGCCCUUACGGGGAAAGAUUUAUCGCCGAAAGAUCGGCCCGCGUCUGAUUAGCUAGUUGGUAAGGUAAAAGCUCACCAAGGCGAUAAUCAAUAGCUGAUUUGAGAGGAUGAUCAGCCACACUGGGACUGAGAUACGGCCCAGACUCC